UACGGAGGAUGCGAGCGUUAUCCGGAUUUAUUGGGUUUAAAGGGUGCGUAGGCGGUCCGUUAAGUCAGCGGUAAAAUUGCGGGGUUCAACCCCGUCGAGCCGUUGAAACUGGCAGACUUGAGUUGGCGAGAAGUACGCGGAAUGCGCGGUGUAGCGGUGAAAUGCAUAGAUAUCGCGCAGAACUCCGAUUGCGAAGGCAGCGUACCGGCGCCAGACUGACGCUGAGGCACGAAAGCGUGGGGAUCGAACAGG
RNAcentral lists this ribosomal RNA (252 nucleotides) under uncultured bacterium. RNAcentral's name for it is "partial 16S ribosomal RNA". It matches the Rfam family "Bacterial small subunit ribosomal RNA", at positions 524 to 776 of the family's 1533-position model. The record is from RNAcentral.